Transfer RNA from Devosia sp. Root413D1, 73 nucleotides. It matches the Rfam family "tRNA". Rfam says of the family: Transfer RNA (tRNA) molecules are approximately 80 nucleotides in length. Their secondary structure includes four short double-helical elements and three loops (D, anti-codon, and T loops). The record is from Rfam. NCBI's taxonomy places the organism in Bacteria, Pseudomonadati, Pseudomonadota, Alphaproteobacteria, Hyphomicrobiales, Devosiaceae.
GGGUGCGUAGCUCAGAUGGUAGAGCAGCUGACUCUUAAUCAGCGGGUCCACGGUUCGAGUCCGUGCGCACCCA